Molecule: long non-coding RNA, 213 nt
Filed under: Carica papaya (papaya)
Lineage: Eukaryota; Viridiplantae; Streptophyta; Magnoliopsida; Brassicales; Caricaceae
Description: long non-coding RNA (CPAP_LNC006962)
Source: RNAcentral
ACCUUUCAUUCCCCUUUUCCUCAGUCAGCAUCAUCAAUUCACACACAAACAAGCAAACCAGUAAUUUAUGCCAAACAAGACAACACACAACAUCGGGUCCUCAGUCAUUCAACCAUAAUCAAUAAAACAGUAAUAUGUGCACACGAAACUAUGAAAUGAAAACAUAAGACCUCAUACUGCAUUUUAAAACCGUAAAAUAGGCCAAACAACAGC